Molecule: long non-coding RNA, 608 nt
Organism: Centruroides sculpturatus (bark scorpion)
Lineage: Eukaryota; Metazoa; Arthropoda; Arachnida; Scorpiones; Buthidae
Exons: 5
Source: RefSeq, a predicted model, not a curated record
UUCUAUUGUUGCUAUUGCGAAGCGAAAAUGGUGCGCUGCCUAAAAAGGUUCUUUUUGCGAGUGUGGAGUAAUAAGGAGAAGAAGAAAGGGAGAGAUGAUGAUGCUGAACCAAAUGCUCAGCAAGUUACAGAUUGUCCUACAAAGUUGGACGAAAAUUGUCUUGGAACAACGUGUCUCCAUUCAAAUAGAGAGGAUUCGUAGUUCCCAGACAAGUAUUCAAAGAGGAGAAAAUUUAUAGAAUUCUGCAGGAAUGCAUUCUAUAAAUUCUGUUGUUGUUGUCGUAUGUCGGGCGAGAUUUCCGAUUCACAGAACUGCGAAUUGGAAAAUAAUCUUGCGCAUUCUCAAAUUCGAUUGGAUUCAUCAAAAUAUGAUGAAAAAAUUCGUAAUGAAAAUUACGAGAUUAAAGAAAUAGGAAAGGGAAAUUUCGGUACAGUUUUUUUGGCUCGGUGUAAAAAUUCAGACGAAAAAGUGGCUUUGAAAGCCGUCAAGAUGAAGCGCUUUUGUCUCGCACAGAGGCGCGAGAUAAACAAAGAAAAAACUGCAUGGACGUCCGCAUCGAGCCAUCCCCAUAUUGUGACGUUAAUAAGUUAUUUCAAAAUGAAUACAAG